AACGAACGCUGGCGGCGUGCCUAACACAUGCAAGUCGUGCGAGAAAGUUUCCUUCGGGGAGCGAGUAAAGCGGCGCACGGGUGAGUAACACGUAGGUAACCUACCUUUCAGUCCGGAAUAACCAGCUGAAAAGCUGGCUAAUGCCGGGUAAGACCACGAUCUCUGCGGGGAUCGCGGCCAAAGGCGGCCUCUUCAUGAAAGCUGAUGCUGAGAGAUGGGGCCUGCGUACCAUUAGCUAGUUGGUGAGGUAACGGCUCACCAAGGCUUUGAUGGUUAGCUGGUCUGAGAGGAUGACCAGCCACACUGGGACUGAGACACGGCCCAGACUCCUACGGGAGGCAGCAGUGGGGAAUAUUGCGCAAUGGGGAAACCCUGACGCAGCGACGCCGCG
RNAcentral lists this ribosomal RNA (391 nucleotides) under uncultured bacterium. Its description in RNAcentral is "bacterial SSU rRNA". It matches the Rfam family "Bacterial small subunit ribosomal RNA", at positions 29 to 401 of the family's 1533-position model. The record is from RNAcentral.